UGAGGAAUAUUGGUCAAUGGUCGGAAGACUGAACCAGCCAUGCCGCGUGCAGGAAGAAUGCCUUAUGGGUUGUAAACUGCUUUUAUAUGGGAAGAAUAAGGCGUACGUGUACGUUGAUGACGGUACCAUAUGAAUAAGCAUCGGCUAACUCCGUGCCAGCAGCCGCGGUAAUACGGAGGAUGCGAGCGUUAUUCGGAAUCAUUGGGUUUAAAGGGUCUGUAGGCGGGCUAUUAAGUCAGGGGUGAAAGGUUUCAGCUUAACUGAGAAAUUGCCUUUGAUACUGGUAGUCUUGAAUAUCUGUGAAGUUCUUGGAAUGUGUAGUGUAGCGGUGAAAUGCUUAGAUAUUACACAGAACACCGAUUGCGAAGGCAGGGGACUAACAGAC
RNAcentral lists this ribosomal RNA (385 nucleotides) under uncultured bacterium. RNAcentral's name for it is "bacterial SSU rRNA". It matches the Rfam family "Bacterial small subunit ribosomal RNA", at positions 355 to 737 of the family's 1533-position model. The record is from RNAcentral.